Molecule: ribosomal RNA, 460 nt
Filed under: uncultured bacterium
Lineage: Bacteria
Description: partial 16S ribosomal RNA
Rfam family: Bacterial small subunit ribosomal RNA
Source: RNAcentral
CCUACGGGUGGCAGCAGUGAGGAAUAUUGGUCAAUGGACGAGAGUCUGAACCAGCCAAGUCGCGUGCAGGAUGACUGCCCUAUGAGUUGUAAACUUCUUUUAUAUGUGGAUAAACUGUUCCACGUGUGGGGUUUUGUAUGUACCAUAUGAAUAAGGAUCGGCUAACUCCGUGCCAGCAGCCGCGGUAAUACGGAGGAUCCGAGCGUUAUCCGGAUUUAUUGGGUUUAAAGGGAGCGUAGGUGGUUUGUUAAGUCAGUUGUGAAAUUUCGCUGCUCAACCGGCAAAUUGCAGUUGAUACUGUCAGACUAGAGUAUAGUAGAGGUAGGCGGAAUGUGUGGUGUAGCGGUGAAAUGCUUAGAGAUCAUGAAGAACGCCGAUUGCGAAGGCAGCUCACUGGACUGUAACUGACACUGAGGCACGAAAGCGUGGGUAGCAAACAGGAUUAGAUACCCUAGUAGUC